GUUGGAGCGGCGGCAGUGGAGGGGACGCGCGGGCUGGCGAACUGACGGGCGGACGGGCCAUGUCGCCCCGCACCUGCUGAACUGGAGCACCCGAGGAUGUCUACGCUGAGGAAGGCCUUCCCACCAUCCGAGGCCCGGCCGUAGCAGCCCGGUUUCCCAGCAGCUGCCUGUGAACACCCGGCCCGCACCGGCUCCGCCACCAUGGGGACUGCUCAGGUUUUGCCCGGCAUUCUGCAGAAGCAUUGCUGUAUCUUACCAGACAGGAACACAGGUCACUUACAGUAAGACAAUUUUCUUAAUUUGUCACUGCAUUCAUCUCCAUAUCUGGAAACUGAAAAAAUUC
Lagenorhynchus albirostris (white-beaked dolphin) is the source of this 343-nucleotide long non-coding RNA. RefSeq lists it as uncharacterized. The record is from RefSeq and is a predicted model, not a curated record. NCBI's taxonomy places the organism in Eukaryota, Metazoa, Chordata, Mammalia, Artiodactyla, Delphinidae. The transcript is spliced from 4 exons.